UACAUGCUGAUAAAUGGUGUUCAGUAGCAAUUGUUCUGUCCAUUCUACAGAUUAACCACCCUCCUUACAAAAUUUUGCGAGACAAAAUAUUUUGAAUUAUUCUGUCUUGAUACCCUACUGACGAUGGAUCAUUGCUGCAAUCAGUGUACCUAUGCAUUCAAAUGAGGACAACGAAAUGCUCAUACCUUCCAAUUUCCAGUUGGACAGUAUAAACCACCAGCUGACCCUGAACACCCAAGAUCAUCAAACUAUAGAGUAAGCAUUGUUGGAUUCGUUGUCAGGCUGUACCAUUUGCCUGGGCUUCUGGUCUUCACCAGCGUUCCUGGGCGAUGUAACGGUGGAAGACGAUGAGGAUGGCGAAGGCGAUACCGCCUUGCGCACCGGGCUGAAUGGCAUGUGCAGCGGCCUCCGCAGUUCGCUCAUUGGGCUUCUGGGGCUCAGGAGUAGAGGAGGUGGCUGCGGCUGUGGUUGCUGCUGUUGCUGUGGAGCUUCUGCAGCAGCAUCUUGGUGAUGCCCUUGCUGUUGUUGUUGCUCUGUUGCAACUUUGUUUAGAAUGUUCUGUAGUGUGGGGAUUAGUUUUGCUGUAACAGAGAUGAUCCCAGGAACCUGCAAUAUAUAAGAUUCAGCAUAAUUG
This 634-nucleotide small RNA is filed under the name Oryza sativa Japonica Group (Japanese rice). Its description in RNAcentral is "sRNA Os12g0604650". Lineage: Eukaryota; Viridiplantae; Streptophyta; Magnoliopsida; Poales; Poaceae. The record is from RNAcentral.